RNAcentral lists this ribosomal RNA (251 nucleotides) under uncultured prokaryote. Its description in RNAcentral is "partial 16S rRNA". It matches the Rfam family "Bacterial small subunit ribosomal RNA", at positions 525 to 775 of the family's 1533-position model. The record is from RNAcentral.
ACGGAGGGUGCAAGCGUUAAUCGGAAUUACUGGGCGUAAAGCGCACGCAGGCUGUAGUGUAAGUCUGGGGUGAAAUCCCAGGGCUCAACCGUGGAAUUGCAAUUGAUACUGCCCAGCUUGAAUAUGGUAGAGGGAGGCGGAAUUCCCGGUGUAGGAGUGAGAUCCGUAGAGAUCGGGAGGAACAUCAGUGGCGAAGGCGGCCACCUGGACCAAUAUUGACGCUGAUGCACGAAAGCGUGGGGAGCAAACAG